UAAGUUUUAUUGUAUUUCAAAUCAUAAAAAUAAUUAGUAUUUAUAAGGCAAUCAAACAUUAUAAGUUUUGAAUUAAUUGUUAUAAGGCAAUCAAACAUUAUUAUAAUUCAUCCUUAAAUAUAAUUAGUAUUUACCGACACUGCAUAACUUGUGUCGAAUUCAUCUCUUCGCAGUUAUCCGGUGGUCCCUACUUGGUUCAGAACCGGAGGGUGAAACUCGUUUAUUGUUUACAAGCCUGGGGCUGGUACGAUGAGGGAGAGAGCGAAGCGUUUAGGGUUUUGGAGAGGUUUUAGAGAGAAAUCCGACUCAGAAGGGAAAUUCCAGCAGAGUAUCGAUGUUGGCGGUGGUGAUUCGAAGUUUGGAUCUAUGGUGGUCGAGGCGGUGGCUUCCGUGGUGAAAACUGUAGCCAUGGGACAGAGUAAAGACUGUGGGAAAUAUGAAAGAACUCUUGCUUUGUUAGAGCAAGUCAGGCCCUGAUGCAGGAAUAAUAGUAAAUGGAAAAUUUUGGAUGGUGUUAGUCUCUGGAGCGCCACCCCAUAGGCAUCUGCAACAAAGAAGUUUCAGGCUUCAAGACCUGUGAUUAGCUUUUGUACAGCAGUUAUUGUUGUGAGGUUUUGGGUUGUGUUGCAACUAUUGACAGUUACAUUGUGAAGAGAAUUCAUCCUUUCGUAGCUUCUGGUCUUCAAAUUGGUACAAAUGGAGGUUCUGAUCACAAGUCACACUCUGUUGAUACGUUUCCUAAAAGGGCAUUGGAAAAUUUAAGGAAUAUCAGGGAUAUUGCUGGGAUUCUUUUGGAACUAUCUAAAGAUUUUAAUUUUAAUAGAUUCCUUGCCAUACUGUUAGAAGCUCUGGUUGAUCAAAGGAACCUGGGCCAAGGAGGUCUUAGCUGCUAUAACUAAGAAUUAUCCAUCUCAAUUUCAAGGAGCUGUUCGGAUGUUCCUAGAUCUCUGUUUAACUAUUAUUUUAUAUCUAUCUUUGCUUUCUCUGUAUCUUUUUCAAGCUUCUUGUCUUAUGUUUUUGAUCCUUCUCUCUUCUACUAGGAUACAAAAGUCCAAUCCAAGAAAGAGGACAAAGUGUGUGAGUCCUUGAGUAAAAUAUUGGAUUGGAAUUUGGAUUUACUGAUAGCCGUCACAGAGUCCAAAAUAUGGCUUGCGGCACACCAUCCAAAGUUGCUUGGAGAGGACCCUGUUCCAGUGUCUUGGAAAAUGUUGCUAUAAGUUUUGUGAGACCAUGCUCCUUGUUGGUGAAACCAAAGGGGUGGGAAGACUACAGUGUGCCAGUUACCGAGUAUUGCUUUGGGGUUAAAUUUACACAUUUUGAAUUGUCACCAGUGCUCUGAAAUGUCUGAUUUUCUUGGGGUUGUCUAUCCAAUUCGAGAUGGAUUGAUGUUGUCCUCAGAAUACAAAUGUGUGAUUGAACGAUUGAAGCUAUUGAAGGCCCUCAUUCAUUUCCCUCAAGACUUGGUUAGUAUGUUUUGGGUUAAAAUAGUCUAUUGGUAUCUUAGCUUAUUUCCUCUACACUCUCUGAGAUGCGCUGGUGUCUCAAAUAUGUUUGGUUGCUGGAUAUUUGUUCCGAUAUUAGCCAUGUUUCUUCAACUCUUGACCAGCUGAAUGUAGUUACCAGUAAUUACAGGCAAGGCCUUUCAAUUCCUGAUGUCACUUUGCUGGAUAUGGUUAAUUUAGCAGAGGUGAAGAAGGAACUUGAUCUGCUUUACCGUAAGUGGCAGACAAUUUUAUGUGGCAAAAUGGGCCUCUUGUGCUAUCUACGAAGGCUGGUUAUUUAUUUCUUGUUGAUGAAAUUUCCUUGGCCGAUGAUAGCAUACUGGAAAGGAUGAACGGUGCUUGGAGCCAGAAAAGAAGGCGGUAAGUAAUUUUUUUUUUUUUUUUUUGAGGAUUUUGCUCUUUGCAGUGAACUUCAAGUUGGCUAGUUAAAAAACAUUAGCCAUCCGUCUAUCCUUCUGGAACCUGACUUGAAAUAUUCACUGACUUAUUCAAUAAAGCCUCCACAAUCUUUUGUACCACAUCAAAUGCAUUGACAUCAGCAGAAUCAGUGCAUGCAAAAGUUUCUAGUUUUGUUCUUGAGAUGUGGUUUUGGUGGCAUUCUUUAUCAUGAAGCCAGUGCCUGCGUCUUUCAAGGAAGAAAGUAUAGGGCUUGUGAGCUUGGUCAGUAAUAUUGAAGGCCUUUUAUAGGUGCAGCUAGAAUAGAAUUAUUUGGCAGGAUGGUCUCAUUCAAAAGAUACUGAUAAAAGAAUUUCACAAGCAUUAGAAAAGCUUGAAAUUGAACUUAGAAAACUGCUAAGGAAGGUCCGAAAGCUUGUGUUUAUUGCCAUUUAUUCGUUUGUCAAGUUUUAUUUUUCAUUCAGAUUGUCUUCCCUCUGAUCUUGCAAAAUACAAUGUACGAAGAAAAGAAUGUGAUCAGCUUCUUGUUCUUGUUAAUUCUUCAAUGAGUUUGGUCAGCAAUAUUGAAGGCAUGGAGUUACAACAGGUUGACGAAGCGUGCAACCGGCAAGUAGAUUUUCUUAGAUAUACUUUUGACAUUAUUCCCAUUGGACGCAGUGAGGUUACUUGGCUAUAUACUCAUCACUUUCUUAUCUAAUUUAUUUUCUCGGGAGACAGCUAGCUGUU
Molecule: non-coding RNA, 2624 nt
Organism: Durio zibethinus
Lineage: Eukaryota; Viridiplantae; Streptophyta; Magnoliopsida; Malvales; Malvaceae
Source: RefSeq, a predicted model, not a curated record